GAUGAACGCUGGCUACAGGCUUAACACAUGCAAGUCGAGGGGAAACGACGGGGAAGCUUGCUUCCCCGGGCGUCGACCGGCGCACGGGUGAGUAACGCGUAUCCAACCUGCCUCUGACUGAGGGAUAACCCGUCGAAAGUCGGCCUAAUACCUCAUGGCAUCGUCUGCGGGCAUCCAACGACGAUUAAAGAUUUCAUCGGUCAGGGAUGGGGAUGCGUCUGAUUAGCUUGUUGGCGGGGUAACGGCCCACCAAGGCUACGAUCAGUAGGGGUUCUGAGAGGAAGGUCCCCCACAUUGGAACUGAGACACGGUCCAAACUCCUACGGGAGGCAGCAGUGAGGAAUAGUGGUCAAUGGGCGGGAGCCUGAACCAGCCAAGUAGCGUGCAGGAUGACGGCCCUAUGGGUUGUAAACUGCUUUUAUGCGGGGAUAAAGUGAGGGACGUGUCCUUCAUUGCAGGUACCGCAUGAAUAAGGACCGGCUAAUUCCGU
Molecule: ribosomal RNA, 490 nt
Filed under: uncultured bacterium
Lineage: Bacteria
Description: partial 16S ribosomal RNA
Rfam family: Bacterial small subunit ribosomal RNA
Source: RNAcentral